Molecule: long non-coding RNA, 834 nt
Organism: Diabrotica virgifera virgifera (western corn rootworm)
Lineage: Eukaryota; Metazoa; Arthropoda; Insecta; Coleoptera; Chrysomelidae
Exons: 3
Source: RefSeq, a predicted model, not a curated record
AUCUACAGGUCGAGCAAGUCUCGUAAAUUUCACGAUUGCGAGCCACGCUUCACGCAACCGUGUUUGCGUACUUGUGUUUCAAGUUGCGUGGUCGUACGGAGUUAUAUUUACCAAAUUUAAAUAUAAUCGUUUUCAAAAUUAAAUCAAUAUGUCAAUAUGGCUACUGGGUGUAAAAGAUAAAUCUUAUUCUAUCUGUUCUUAAUGAGUUUUAGAUAAUUUUAGUUGUAUUUCUUUGUAAUUUUGUGUUGUACAAAGAUUAAUUUAACAUUUUCUCUGGAAGUAUUAAUUUAGAAAGAUAAUAUGCUUCAUUGGUGUUGUGUUUUGAAGUGUGAAAUGUGAUAAAGUCAAGAUAAAGUUCACUUUUAAACUGAACUAAAUAAGGUAUCUGAGAGACAACAAUGGUUAAAUGCAAUACAAUGUACAGGUUUUACUAGCGAAAUGAAAAUUUUCCUGUCCUGUCUGCUGUAAUCAUUUUAUAUCUGGAAAACCAGCCGACUUAAUAGAUAAUAACAAUCUCCAGAUUGGGUUCCUUCAAUAAAUAUGGUCUAUAAACACAAUGAAAUAAGUUCCCCAAAAUCUAAAAUGGAGUGGUAUCAAAGGAGAAUUAAAGGGAAAAAUAUUCAUAUUGAAAUUAUUUAUAAGGCACUGGACUGUCUUAAAUUCUACAAUAAUACUAGAAUCAGCUGAGAGAAGUGGUCUACAAAAAAACCAGGAAGGAAACGGAAUAUGUGGCUACGAAAGGCAAAAGAAAGGUUUACAAAGCAAAUGUGACACAUUUUUUUGAAAUAUUUAGGAAUAUCAGUAAAUUGCAUUAAAAAAAUGUAUGAAAAGAUU